Molecule: ribosomal RNA, 205 nt
Filed under: uncultured bacterium
Lineage: Bacteria
Description: partial 16S ribosomal RNA
Rfam family: Bacterial small subunit ribosomal RNA
Source: RNAcentral
UACGUAGGGUGCGAGCGUUGUCCGGAAUUAUUGGGCGUAAAGAGCUCGUAGGCGGUGUGUCGCGUCGGCCGUGAAAACCUGCAGCUUAACUGUGGGCUUGCGGUCGAUACGGGCAUCACUGGAGUUCGGGCAGGGGAGACUGGAAUUCCUGGUGUAGCGGUGAAAAUGCGCAGAUAUCAGGAGGAACACCGGUGGCGAAGGCGGG